ACGGCGAGUGAAGCGGCAAUAGCUCAAAUUUGAAAUCUGGCGCUUGCGUCCGAGUUGUAAUUUGUAGAGGAUGAUUUUGGUUAGGUACCUUUCGAGUUCCUUGGAACAGGACGCCUUAGAGGGUGAGAGCCCCGUACGAUUGGAUGCCGAGCCUCUGUAAAUCUCCUUCGACGAGUCGAGUAGUUUGGGAAUGCUGCUCUAAAUGGGAGGUAAAUUUCUUCUAAAGCUAAAUACCGGCCAGAGACCGAUAGCGCACAAGUAGAGUGAUCGAAAGAUGAAAAGCACUUUGAAAAGAGGGUUAAAUAGCACGUGAAAUUGUUGAAAGGGAAGGAUUUAUGACCAGACUUUUUCUAGGAGGAUCAUCCGGUGUUCUCACCGGUGCACUUCUUCUAGUUUAGGCCAGCAUCGACUUCUGGCGGCGGAUAAAAGCUUUAGGAAUGUGGCUCCCUACGGGGAGUGUUAUAGCCUAUUGUAUAAUACGCUGCUGGGGGUCGAGGUACGCGCUUCUGCAAGGAUGCUGGCGUAAUGGUUAUCAAUCACCCGUCUUGAAACACGGACCAAGGAGUCGAACAUUUAUGCGAGUGUUUGGGUGUUAAACCCUCACGCGUAAUGAAAGUGAACGGAGGUGAGAGCCCUUACGGGUGCAUCAUCGACCGAUCCUGAAGUUUUCGGAUGGAUUUGAGUAAGAGCAUAACUGUUCGGACCCGAAAGAUGGUGAACUAUGCGUGGAUAGGGUGAAGCCAGAGGAAACUCUGGUGGAGGCUCGCAGCGGUUCUGACGUGCAAAUCGAUCGUCAAAUCUGCGCAUGGGGGCGAAAGACUAAUCGAACCA
RNAcentral lists this ribosomal RNA (831 nucleotides) under Truncatella sp. T10-3. RNAcentral's name for it is "eukaryotic LSU rRNA". It matches the Rfam family "Eukaryotic large subunit ribosomal RNA", at positions 86 to 942 of the family's 3401-position model. Lineage: Eukaryota; Fungi; Ascomycota; Sordariomycetes; Amphisphaeriales; Sporocadaceae. The record is from RNAcentral.